ACUGGCCCAAACCGGAAACUGCUCUUUUGACUGCUCUAGAACAUAGAUGCAUCCUGGGAGUUGUGGUUCCGGCCAGGAACUCAACGAAAACAGUACUGAGCACCAAGGGACCAAAAGAGUGCUCCAUGGGCGCGCACACAAAUCCCCUUCGUUUAUUUUUUCUCCCACCAAGAGCGGAAGCAGUUUAGAUCAGAAGAGUCAGGGGCCCGCCCCAGCUUGGGGACGCUUUUUCCGGUCUCUAUGGAUACGGGCUACACACCUUGGGCGGAAGCCAAAAUUUAGGGAUUUAGGCUGGAUCGUGUUUCUGCCAACCGCCAAUAUAUUGUUAGGCGUCGUCUGUGAAAGCUUCCGAAAUAAAUCCGAAAGCAUUAGCCAAGUCUUGUGCAAAACAGUAGCGUUUGCCUUUUAUUGCCUUGUUAAGGAGAGUGUAGUUUUUCAUCUUCUGCAGCACCAGGACAAGAGUUCCUUCUACCCCUACACCCCAUACUAGUCACCAGUGACACAACAGUGCCCUGUGGCACAGCUAGUCUGAUGUAGUCAUCUCUACAAUUAUCAGAUGCUGUUGACAAGGAGAACGCAUCACUGGGAGAGCUCAGAGGCCAUUGGGACUGCUCUUGGAGAGAAGACAAGCAAACAACUCAUGGACAUACAGCAUGGAAACUGAUCUGAAGAAUGCCUGGGGCACGCAGGAGUGAGGUU
Mirounga angustirostris (Northern elephant seal) is the source of this 699-nucleotide long non-coding RNA. RefSeq lists it as uncharacterized. The transcript is spliced from 3 exons. NCBI's taxonomy places the organism in Eukaryota, Metazoa, Chordata, Mammalia, Carnivora, Phocidae. The record is from RefSeq and is a predicted model, not a curated record.